AGCGUGCAAAACUAACUGUUCAAUCAAAGAGUGUUUUCUCCAAGGUCGGUGUUCAGUCAAACAGUGCUUUCUCCAGCUGACCAAUGGGAGCGGUCCUCUCUGAUCACAUGACUAGUUGGCAUAAGCUGUUUUAACACGUGGUUCAGUACUGAAAGUAAGGUUAUGUAAGUAUUGGAAACACUGGAGCUCGUAAAAGACAGGCAACUGGCAAAAGAAGAAAA
Non-coding RNA from Hydra vulgaris (swiftwater hydra), 221 nucleotides. Lineage: Eukaryota; Metazoa; Cnidaria; Hydrozoa; Anthoathecata; Hydridae. The record is from RefSeq and is a predicted model, not a curated record.